Molecule: long non-coding RNA, 964 nt
Organism: Pogoniulus pusillus (Red-fronted tinkerbird)
Lineage: Eukaryota; Metazoa; Chordata; Aves; Piciformes; Lybiidae
Exons: 4
Source: RefSeq, a predicted model, not a curated record
CAGAAUCUCAGGCCAGCCAGGGGCUGCAGGCUGUUAGCAGUUUGAGGUCAGCCAGGGCAGCUGACAGGAGUUGGCUACAGGUGUGUCCCAGACCAUGAACAUCACCCUCAAUAUAAAAGGGGAAGCUUGCCAAGGAUGGUGCUCUUUCUGACCCUGUUUUUCUUCUUUCUCCUUCUCCCAAGGAUUGCUUUCCUGUUUGUUGUGGCUGCUGUAUGCUCUCUGUGAACCUCUUUAAAUGCACUUGGUGCAAGUGCCUGUCAAAUGCUGCUGAAUCCAGAGCUGGUGGGAUCUUGACAAACCCUGCAGUUCAUACAGCACUUGAGCUAAGUGCAGAAUGUUUCAGAAUACCUCACCAAAAGCUGGCAUCCCUCAUAGAGACAGAUCUGUUGACUUCUAAGAUGAAUCCUCCUGAAGACCACCUGAAUGCUCCCUGUAUCUGGAUAGAUUUGCUUCGAAGGUGAUUGGACUUGAUGAACGUGAAACAUCCCCUGAGGAUGGGGCAAACUGACUGUCACUCAUUGGGACCGCCUUGGUGGAUUCAGGAGGUUCUCAUAUCCACAAUAGGAAAAACUACUGGAGUUUUUCUACUUUCAUAUCCACACUAAGUAAAACAACCUCAGUAAUCAAGCAAGUUUGAAAUCCUUCCUGAAACACAAACUAUGAUCAAGCACAACAGAAUCAACUUCAAACAAAAUAUACCUGAGAGCUGAUAAAAAUACUUUCCAAGCAUUGUCCUUUAUCAUCAAACAAAAGAGCCUGCAAUGAAAAAGAAGGAAUUUUAAUUGAUUGUAUCUGAUAGAUUAACUAGACUGACACUGACAGUCCAGCAGCAGGUGAUAUUAAAUCCAGAGGUUAAAUUAAAUCCGAGGAGUUCACCUUAUUUCUGCCAGUUCUAAUCCUCAGAAUUCCAUCUUGCCAGGUUUUUGAUUUUUUCAUUUUUUGGUGUGUGUAUAAUACCUGUUUU